GUUCUCGUAGUUGAAUUACAACGGUGGUUUUUCAAGUCAUUAGUUCUGGUUAGAAUCCUGGCGGGAAUU
This 69-nucleotide transfer RNA is filed under the name Clarias batrachus (walking catfish). RNAcentral's name for it is "tRNA-Glu". It matches the Rfam family "tRNA". From Rfam's summary of the family: Transfer RNA (tRNA) molecules are approximately 80 nucleotides in length. Their secondary structure includes four short double-helical elements and three loops (D, anti-codon, and T loops). The record is from RNAcentral. Lineage: Eukaryota; Metazoa; Chordata; Actinopteri; Siluriformes; Clariidae.